UUUCGGGCGGGGAUUAGUGGCGAACGGGUGAGUAACACGUGGGCAAUCUGCCCUGCACUCUGGGACAAGCCCUGGAAACGGGGUCUAAUACCGGAUACGACACUCUCGGGCAUCCGAUGAGUGUGGAAAGCUCCGGCGGUGCAGGAUGAGCCCGCGGCCUAUCAGCUUGUUGGUGAGGUAACGGCUCACCAAGGCGACGACGGGUAGCCGGCCUGAGAGGGCGACCGGCCACACUGGGACUGAGACACGGCCCAAACUCCUACGGGAGGCAGCAGUGGGGAAUAUUGCACAAUGGGCGAAAGCCUGAUGCAGCGACGCCGCGUGAGGGAUGACGGCCUUCGGGUUGUAAACCUCUUUCAGCAGGGAAGAAGCGAAAGUGACGGUACCUGCAGAAGAAGCGCCGGCUAACUACGUGCCAGCAGCCGCGGUAAUACGUAGGGCGCAAGCGUUGUCCGGAAUUAUUGGGCGUAAAGAGCUCGUAGGCGGCUUGUCACGUCGGUUGUGAAAGCCCGGGGCUUAACCCCGGGUCUGCAGUCGAUACGGGCAGGCUAGAGUUCGGUAGGGGAGAUCGGAAUUCCUGGUGUAGCGGUGAAAUGCGCAGAUAUCAGGAGGAACACCGGUGGCGAAGGCGGAUCUCUGGGCCGAUACUGACGCUGAGGAGCGAAAGCGUGGGGAGCGAACAGGAUUAGAUACCCUGGUAGUCCACGCCGUAAACGGUGGGCACUAGGUGUGGGCAACAUUCCACGUUGUCCGUGCCGCAGCUAACGCAUUA
This 772-nucleotide ribosomal RNA is filed under the name Streptomyces vellosus. RNAcentral's name for it is "bacterial SSU rRNA". It matches the Rfam family "Bacterial small subunit ribosomal RNA", at positions 79 to 862 of the family's 1533-position model. Lineage: Bacteria; Bacillati; Actinomycetota; Actinomycetes; Kitasatosporales; Streptomycetaceae. The record is from RNAcentral.